Molecule: ribosomal RNA, 767 nt
Filed under: Clostridioides difficile
Lineage: Bacteria; Bacillati; Bacillota; Clostridia; Peptostreptococcales; Peptostreptococcaceae
Description: bacterial LSU rRNA
Rfam family: Bacterial large subunit ribosomal RNA
Source: RNAcentral
GGAGGUCCGAACCCACGAGCGUUGAAAAGCUCGGGGAUGACUUGUGGGUAGCGGUGAAAUUCCAAUCGAGCCCGGAGAUAGCUGGUUCUCCCCGAAAUAGCGUUAGGGCUAGCCUCAAGGUGAGAGAUACGGAGGUAGAGCACUGAAUGUCCUAGGGGGUAUUGCACCUACCGAAGACUAUCAAACUCCGAAUGCCGUCAUCUUAUACUUGGGAGUCAGACUGUGGGUGAUAAGAUUCAUAGUCGAAAGGGCAACAGCCCAGAUCGUCAGCUAAGGUCCCUAAAUGUAAGUUAAGUGGUAAAGGAUGUGGGAUUGCACAGACAACCAGGAUGUUGGCUUAGAAGCAGCCACUCAUUCAAAGAGUGCGUAAUAGCUCACUGGUCGAGUGAUCCUGCGCCGAAGAUUUCCGGGGCUAAAACUUACUACCGAAGCUACGGCAUCAGUAAUGAUGGGUAGGGGAGCUUCCCAUACGGGUUGAAGCAUGACCGUAAGGACAUGUGGACAGUAUGGGAGUGAGAAUGUUGGCAUGAGUAGCGAGAUGUGGGUGAGAAUCCCACAGGCCGUAAACCCAAGGUUUCCAGGGGAAGGUUCGUCCGCCCUGGGUUAGUCGGGACCUAAGCUGAGGCCGAAAGGCGUAGGGGAUGGACAACAGGUUGAUAUUCCUGUACUACCGAUAACCGUUUGAGAGAAGGGAUGACACAGUAGGAUAAGCUAAGCACACUGUUGGUUAUGUGUGCCCAAGCAUUGAGGCAGUCAAAGUAGGCAAA